UACAAUAAUAACUAAAGGACUAUGGAAU
This 28-nucleotide non-coding RNA is filed under the name Rattus norvegicus (Norway rat). The record is from RNAcentral. Lineage: Eukaryota; Metazoa; Chordata; Mammalia; Rodentia; Muridae.